AGAGAGAGACAUGCGCGCAUAUCAAUAAGCGGAGGAAAAGAAACUAACUAGGAUUCCCUCAGUAACGGCGAGUGAAGCGGGAAGAGCUCAAAUUUGAAAUCUUCAAGGUUCUACCUUGACGAAUUGUAGUUUAAAGAAGUGUUUUCUGUUGGAGUUUUGGUAAAAGUUCUUUGGAAUAGGACAUCAUAGAGGGUGAGAAUCCCGUAUUUGAUCAUUCUCCUAACUUUGUGAUACACUUUCAACGAGUCGGAUUGUUUGGGAAUGCAGUCCAAAAUGGGUGGUAAAUUUCAUCUAAAGCUAAAUAUUGGCGAGAGACCGAUAGCGAACAAGUACCGUGAGGGAAAGAUGAAAAGAACUUUGAAAAGAGAGUUAAACAGUACGUGAAAUUGUCAAAAGGGAAGCGUUUGACACCAGUGUUGUUUUCUCGAAAAUCAAUUAAAAAUGACUGGAUUUUGUGUUGUAUUGACUUUAUCAGCUUUCUGCACUCUUUUCUUGUCUUUUUUGAUGCACUUUUCGUUUAACAAGUCAACAUCAAUUUCUUUUGUUGUAAAAGGGUCAUUGGAAGGUGGCUUUCUUUUCGGAGAAAGUGUUUAUAGCCUUUGGCCUCUGCAAUCGGAGAGAUUGAGGUCUGCAGCGUAGAUCCUUCGGGGUUAGAUGACAUUUGUGCUAAGUUAUAGCCUUUCAUAGACAACUUGUUGACUAUGAUCAGUCAUGUAGCUUACUCGCUUAUGUCAUUUUACCUACGCUUAGGAUGUUGACAGCAGUAUAGACUGU
RNAcentral lists this ribosomal RNA (774 nucleotides) under uncultured Neocallimastigales. Its description in RNAcentral is "partial large subunit ribosomal RNA". It matches the Rfam family "Eukaryotic large subunit ribosomal RNA", at positions 23 to 633 of the family's 3401-position model. Lineage: Eukaryota; Fungi; Neocallimastigomycota; Neocallimastigomycetes; Neocallimastigales. The record is from RNAcentral.